GAUGAACGCUGGCGGCGUGCCUAAUACAUGCAAGUCGAGCGAACGGACGAGAAGCUUGCUUCUCUGAUGUUAGCGGCGGACGGGUGAGUAACACGUGGAUAACCUACCUAUAAGACUGGGAUAACUUCGGGAAACCGGAGCUAAUACCGGAUAAUAUUUUGAACCGCAUGGUUCAAAAGUGAAAGACGGUCUUGCUGUCACUUAUAGAUGGAUCCGCGCUGCAUUAGCUAGUUGGUAAGGUAACGGCUUACCAAGGCAACGAUGCAUAGCCGACCUGAGAGGGUGAUCGGCCACACUGGAACUGAGACACGGUCCAGACUCCUACGGGAGGCAGCAGUAGGGAAUCUUCCGCAAUGGGCGAAAGCCUGACGGAGCAACGCCGCGUGAGUGAUGAAGGUCUUCGGAUCGUAAAACUCUGUUAUUAGGGAAGAACAUAUGUGUAAGUAACUGUGCACAUCUUGACGGUACCCUAUCAGAAAGCCACGGCUAACUACGUGCCAGCAGCCGCGGUAAUACGUAAGUGGGCAGCGUUAUCCGGAAUUAUUGGGCGNUAAGCGCGCGUAGGCGGGUUUUUAAGUCUGAUGUGAAAGCCCACGGCUCAACCGUGGAGGGUCAUUGGAAACUGGAAAACUUGAGUGCAGAAGAGGAAAGUGGAAUUCCAUGUGUAGCGGUGAAAUGCGCAGAGAUAUGGAGGAACACCAGUGGCGAAGGCGACUUUCUGGUCUGUAACUGACGCUGAUGUGCGAAAGCGUGGGGAUCAAACAGGAUUAGAUACCCUGGUAGUCCACGCCGUAAACGAUGAGUGCUAAGUGUUAGGGGGUUUCCGCCCCUUAGUGCUGCAGCUAACGCAUUAAGCACUCCGCCUGGGGAGUACGACCGCAAGGUUGAAACUCAAAGGAAUUGACGGGGACCCGCACAAGCGGUGGAGCAUGUGGUUUAAUUCGAAGCAACGCGAAGAACCUUACCAAAUCUUGACAUCCUUUGACAACUCUAGAGAUAGAGCCUUCCCCUUCGGGGGACAAAGUGACAGGUGGUGCAUGGUUGUCGUCAGCUCGUGUCGUGAGAUGUUGGGUUAAGUCCCGCAACGAGCGCAACCCUUAAGCUUAGUUGCCAUCAUUAAGUUGGGCACUCUAAGUUGACUGCCGGUGACAAACCGGGGGAAGGUGGGGAUGACGUCAAAUCAUCAUGCCCCUUAUGAUUUGGGCUACACACGUGCUACAAUGGACAAUACAAAGGGCAGCGAAACCGCGAGGUCAAGCAAAUCCCAUAAAGUUGUUCUCAGUUCGGAUUGUAGUCUGCAACUCGACUACAUGAAGCUGGAAUCGCUAGUAAUCGUAAAUCACCAUGCAACGGUGAAUACCUUCCCGGG
RNAcentral lists this ribosomal RNA (1369 nucleotides) under uncultured bacterium. RNAcentral describes it as "bacterial SSU rRNA". It matches the Rfam family "Bacterial small subunit ribosomal RNA", at positions 28 to 1378 of the family's 1533-position model. The record is from RNAcentral.